GCUACGGGAGGCAGCAGUGGGGAAUAUUGCACAAUGGGCGAAAGCCUGAUGCAGCAACGCCGCGUGAAGGAAGACGGUUUUCGGAUUGUAAACUUCUAUCAAUAGGGAAGAAAGAAAUGACGGUACCUAAAUAAGAAGCGCCGGCUAACUACGUGCCAGCAGCCGCGGUAAUACGUAGGGGGCAAGCGUUAUCCGGAAUUACUGGGUGGAAAGGGAGAGUAGGUGGCAAGGUAAGCGAUAUGUGAAAGCCUUAAGGUUAACCUAAGGAUUGCAUAACGAAAUAUCUAAGUAGAGUACAGGAGAGGAAAGCGGAAUUCCUGGUGUAGCGGUGAAAUGCGUAGAUAUUAGGAAGAACACCAGUGGCGAAGGCGGCUUUCUGGACUGAAACUGACGCUGAGGCUCGAAAGCGUGGGGAGCGAACAGGAUUAGAUACCCCAGUAGUC
This 443-nucleotide ribosomal RNA is filed under the name uncultured bacterium. RNAcentral describes it as "partial 16S ribosomal RNA". It matches the Rfam family "Bacterial small subunit ribosomal RNA", at positions 338 to 795 of the family's 1533-position model. The record is from RNAcentral.